Molecule: long non-coding RNA, 411 nt
Filed under: Cyanistes caeruleus (blue tit)
Lineage: Eukaryota; Metazoa; Chordata; Aves; Passeriformes; Paridae
Description: lncRNA (ENSCCEG00000002542.1)
Source: RNAcentral
AGGAGUUCUCCUCCCUCAAUCCUUUCCAUCACUAUUCUCCAGCCUGAUGUUGGGGCUCUCUGAUUACGUGGAGACUAAAGGCCUAGAAAAAGUAGAUUUUUUUUCCCUUCUACUGAUAUAGUAGGAACUCUGCUUUCUGCUGUGCUCUGAUCUGAUUUGACUUUAUCAAGUAAGGUAUGAGAUUAUCAUCAGGUCUCCAGCAGCAAAGAGCAUUGGUGCUAUGGAGGGGCUGUGGAAUGAUAGAAUUUCCAAUACAUUUCUGGAGUCUUUCCAGGGGAGACUUUUAAAAAGUAGAGCAUGUGCUUUCUGGAAAGUAAUAGGAUAAAGUGUUUGCGGCAGUUUCUCAAAUGCAAAGGAGCUAUGUGCAUCACAGAGAGGUUUGCAUCAAGUGGUUUGACAAAGUCAAAUUCA